UACGAAGGGGGCUAGCGUUGCUCGGAAUCACUGGGCGUAAAGCGCACGUAGGCGGCUUUCUAAGUCAGAGGUGAAAUCCUGGAGCUCAACUCCAGAACUGCCUUUGAUACUGGAAAGCUUGAGUUCGGGAGAGGUGAGUGGAACUGCGAGUGUAGAGGUGAAAUUCGUAGAUAUUCGCAAGAACACCAGUGGCGAAGGCGGCUCACUGGCCCGAUACUGACGCUGAGGUGCGAAAGCGUGGGGAGCAAAAGGG
This 253-nucleotide ribosomal RNA is filed under the name uncultured bacterium. Its description in RNAcentral is "partial 16S ribosomal RNA". It matches the Rfam family "Bacterial small subunit ribosomal RNA", at positions 524 to 776 of the family's 1533-position model. The record is from RNAcentral.